UAGGGAAUCUUCCACAAUGGGCGGAAGCCUGAUGGAGCAACGCCGCGUGUGUGAUGAAGGGUUUCGGCUCGUAAAACACUGUUGUAAGAGAAGAAUGACAUUGAGGGUAACUGUUCAAUGUGUGACGGUAUCUUACCAGAAAGGAACGGCUAAAUACGUGCCAG
RNAcentral lists this ribosomal RNA (164 nucleotides) under uncultured bacterium. RNAcentral's name for it is "partial 16S rRNA". It matches the Rfam family "Bacterial small subunit ribosomal RNA", at positions 355 to 511 of the family's 1533-position model. The record is from RNAcentral.